This 79-nucleotide transfer RNA is filed under the name Bipalium admarginatum. RNAcentral describes it as "tRNA-Lys". Lineage: Eukaryota; Metazoa; Platyhelminthes; Tricladida; Geoplanidae. The record is from RNAcentral.
AGUAUGAAAUCUUUUGUGUAAGUGUUAAAUUCUUAAUUUAAUUUAGGAGAAUUUUCAAAGUUUAAUUUUUCUCAUAUUG